CAAUAGUUAGAAGAAGUGCUGAGAAAAAGGCUUGUGCAGAACUUCUCAUGACGUACUGAGAAACAAGGUAUGCAUACAACAUGCAACACUGCUGUCAAAUACAGGCAAGAACACUUGAAUUCAACCUUCAAAUUGGGAAAUCAUUGGCCUUCUCCAACUCCACUGACAGCGCAGUAGUGAUAAAGCUCACCUGGACAGCUACAUGGUAUGAAAGUACCAUGAAGAAGGAGACAAUCCUACGCCCCAGAGAGCCAGGCAGAAUACACACACUGUGCAGAAUGAGUUCACAGCACUGAGGUCCAUCUACAAGAGCCUCUCACUCUCCUGGGGAAGCUUCGUGUGCCGCACAGAAGAUGGAAAAGCAGAAAUGUUUUGGUUUUUUUUCCCCUCCAGCCAGAGACCCUAUGUCACAGCCUCACUGACAGCAACACAGUUCUUCAAGGUCUCAGCUGUUUUAGGGGAAUCACGGGGCAGUUCAGGUGGAAAG
Long non-coding RNA from Centrocercus urophasianus (Greater sage-grouse), 487 nucleotides. RefSeq lists it as uncharacterized. The transcript is spliced from 5 exons. NCBI's taxonomy places the organism in Eukaryota, Metazoa, Chordata, Aves, Galliformes, Phasianidae. The record is from RefSeq and is a predicted model, not a curated record.